AAGAGACACAUGGAGAAGAGGGGGGAAGAAAUUAGAGGUCGACUCCGUCUCCGUGAAGCUCGUUGCUUCUUCUUCAUCUGUCAUCUCCAAGCUCUGUCUAGCUUCUUCCGGCCGUCGACUCUUCAUCUUCUUCUGUCAUCUCUUCUCUCCGUCUCCUCUCUUCUCUCUUCUCUCCAUCUCUAAUGUCUCUCUGUCUCGUGUCGCAAACAAAUGAGAUAAAAU
RNAcentral lists this long non-coding RNA (222 nucleotides) under Brassica napus (rape). RNAcentral describes it as "long non-coding RNA (BNAP_LNC003559)". Lineage: Eukaryota; Viridiplantae; Streptophyta; Magnoliopsida; Brassicales; Brassicaceae. The record is from RNAcentral.